RNAcentral lists this ribosomal RNA (1122 nucleotides) under Escherichia coli. RNAcentral describes it as "partial 23S ribosomal RNA". It matches the Rfam family "Bacterial large subunit ribosomal RNA", at positions 165 to 1327 of the family's 2925-position model. The record is from RNAcentral. Lineage: Bacteria; Pseudomonadati; Pseudomonadota; Gammaproteobacteria; Enterobacterales; Enterobacteriaceae.
CAUAGGUUAAUGAGGCGAACCGGGGGAACUGAAACAUCUAAGUACCCCGAGGAAAAGAAAUCAACCGAGAUUCCCCCAGUAGCGGCGAGCGAACGGGGAGGAGCCCAGAGCCUGAAUCAGUGUGUGUGUUAGUGGAAGCGUCUGGAAAGGCGCGCGAUACAGGGUGACAGCCCCGUACACAAAAAUGCACAUGCUGUGAGCUCGAUGAGUAGGGCGGGACACGUGGUAUCCUGUCUGAAUAUGGGGGGACCAUCCUCCAAGGCUAAAUACUCCUGACUGACCGAUAGUGAACCAGUACCGUGAGGGAAAGGCGAAAAGAACCCCGGCGAGGGGAGUGAAAAAGAACCUGAAACCGUGUACGUACAAGCAGUGGGAGCCUCUUAAUGGGGUGACUGCGUACCUUUUGUAUAAUGGGUCAGCGACUUAUAUUCUGUAGCAAGGUUAACCGAAUAGGGGAGCCGAAGGGAAACCGAGUCUUAACUGGGCGUUAAGUUGCAGGGUAUAGACCCGAAACCCGGUGAUCUAGCCAUGGGCAGGUUGAAGGUUGGGUAACACUAACUGGAGGACCGAACCGACUAAUGUUGAAAAAUUAGCGGAUGACUUGUGGCUGGGGGUGAAAGGCCAAUCAAACCGGGAGAUAGCUGGUUCUCCCCGAAAGCUAUUUAGGUAGCGCCUCGUGAAUUCAUCUCCGGGGGUAGAGCACUGUUUCGGCAAGGGGGUCAUCCCGACUUACCAACCCGAUGCAAACUGCGAAUACCGGAGAAUGUUAUCACGGGAGACACACGGCGGGUGCUAACGUCCGUCGUGAAGAGGGAAACAACCCAGACCGCCAGCUAAGGUCCCAAAGUCAUGGUUAAGUGGGAAACGAUGUGGGAAGGCCCAGACAGCCAGGAUGUUGGCUUAGAAGCAGCCAUCAUUUAAAGAAAGCGUAAUAGCUCACUGGUCGAGUCGGCCUGCGCGGAAGAUGUAACGGGGCUAAACCAUGCACCGAAGCUGCGGCAGCGACACUAUGUGUUGUUGGGUAGGGGAGCGUUCUGUAAGCCUGUGAAGGUGGCCUGUGAGGGUUGCUGGAGGUAUCAGAAGUGCGAAUGCUGACAUAAGUAACGAUAAAGCGGGUGAAAA